GAUGAACGCUGGCGGCGUGCUUAACACAUGCAAGUCGAACGGAAAGGCCCAAGCUUGCUUGGGUACUCGAGUGGCGAACGGGUGAGUAACACGUGGGUGAUCUGCCCUGCACUUCGGGAUAAGCCUGGGAAACUGGGUCUAAUACCGGAUAGGACCACUUCUUGGAUGUUGUGGUGGAAAGUUUUUUCGGUGUGGGAUGAGCUCGCGGCCUAUCAGCUUGUUGGUGGGGUAAUGGCCUACCAAGGCGUCGACGGGUAGCCGGCCUGAGAGGGUGUACGGCCACAUUGGGACUGAGAUACGGCCCAGACGCCUACGGGAGGCAGCAGGGGGGAAUAUUGCACAAGGGGCGCAAGCCUGAUGCAGCGACGCCGCGGGGGGGAUGACGGCCUUCGGGUUGUAAACUCCUUUCGCUAGGGACGAAGCGUUUUGUGACGGUACCUGGAGAAGAAGCACCGGCUAACUACGUG
Molecule: ribosomal RNA, 467 nt
Filed under: uncultured bacterium
Lineage: Bacteria
Description: partial 16S ribosomal RNA
Rfam family: Bacterial small subunit ribosomal RNA
Source: RNAcentral